Molecule: long non-coding RNA, 1817 nt
Organism: Dunckerocampus dactyliophorus (ringed pipefish)
Lineage: Eukaryota; Metazoa; Chordata; Actinopteri; Syngnathiformes; Syngnathidae
Exons: 2
Source: RefSeq, a predicted model, not a curated record
GAUGGCGAUCCUUGUGGGUAAGUGUUUGUAUGUUCUCCCCGUGUGUGCGUGGGUUUUCUCCGGGUACUCCGGUUUCCUCCCACAUGCCAAAAAACAUGCAUGUUAAGUUAAUUGGGGACUCUAAAUUGUCCAUAGGUAUGAAUGUGAGUGGGAAUGGUUGUUUGUCUGUAUGUGCCUGGCGAUUGGCUGGCAACCAGUCCAGGGUUUACCCCGCCUCUCGCCCGAAGUCAGCUGGCUCCAGCAUACUCGCGACCCUAGUGAGGAUAAGCGGCAUAGAAGAUAGAUAGAUGGAUGGAUGGAUGGAUGGAUGGAAGGAAAUGUAGUGUGCUGUACCCAGAUGUACACGAAAUACACCCUAAAUGGGUCAUCAGCCGGGAGCCAUCCAUCACAGAUGCUUCGCUCCUUUAAUCCCAGGACAUCGCCAGGUGGUGGAGCAGUGGCAGAGACAUCUCUUUGCCACUUCCUGCAGCAAGGACUAGGAUCCUUCCCUCCCCCAAGCCUGGUCGUUUCACUGGCGCCACAGCCCAAAUUUUCCGUAUUCUGCUUCUUCUCCUAGGUUUUUUUGGGGGCUUUUUCAAUUUGGGGCCUCUGAUGCCCAGAGUCUUCAGGAACCGCUGGGUGGUGGUUCCAGUGUGGACUCUACAGCCGGCUUUCAUUGGGCACAUGGAGGACCUCCAACCGGAUUGUGUGCAUGCAGCUGAGAUCUCUGCAUAUUUGUCCAUCUUCCUCUCAAAGGCAGCCCCCAUAUCCUCUUCCCAUAAGACUGUUAGCUCAGCCAUGAUGACAGACUUUGUAGCAGUGAACCAGAGCGUGAUAGCUGGUCGUAGAGAAGCAAAGGGAAAAAUUGUUGACUGUCAAUUUUGUUUGCAAGACAGGUGGAUGAUAUCAGUAGUGGAACAAAACCACCCACAUCUUCUUCUUUGCAAUGUCUAUGUGUACACCAUGCUGCAAAUGUUGAGUCUUUUAAAAUAUAUCCCAAGUAAGUACCAUAAAUGCAUAGGACACUUUAAUGCAGCUUCAAACACUAACCUUGACAGGUUUUCACAAAAAACAAUAACCCUGUCACUAAUGCAGUAAUUCACCCGUUCUGUAACAACCUAUCGUUGCUAAACCCCUUUAGAAUUCUUCAUCCAGACUCAACUGUUUUAACUGGGUCUAAAAGGAAUUUCAAACACUUGGUUACUGUUACACAGCCAUGUGGGGUUUUAUGGACGUAUUCAUGCUAUCCAUAACGAUGGUUUUGUCUUACCGCGGGGGUAGCACACUCAACAAGAUGUCUUUUUUGGGUCUCACUGCACACAUCGGCCCUCCUCCUCCUCCUCCUUCCCUUGCUAAUCCAAUCUUGCGGUGAGUGGGAUAUUUCAAUCUCUUUUUGAAAAUGCAAAUUUCCUCCACUUCAGUGUUAAAAAAAAAUCACCAACCUCUGCAAAGGUGACCACAAAAAGGAGGCUGAAGAGACACUUGCAGCUUGGGAACCGGGGGUUGUGAACCCUGCAAUAGAUGAAAAGACAAAACCUGGUGAGGGAGGCAUCCAGCAAGCCUACAGCAUCACUUGAGGAAGAAAUGUGCGGCAUCUUGAUAAAAUGAAGGUUGAACUUUUGGUCAAUGUCAGUGUAUAAAUGAAAUAAAAAAAAUCUUCAAAUCAUGUUAAAAAGCUGAAGAUAUGGCAAUGACUGCCAGAGUAAAUUCUCGAAAACUGAGUACACACCUCACAUCAGCAACCAUCUGCUUUCCAAGCUGUACGCUGACUUCUGUAAGUUUCAUUUCGGUACUACCGUAUUCCUUGAGAAGAUACAAUAAAAUGGUUGCUGAAAACA